This 372-nucleotide ribosomal RNA is filed under the name uncultured organism. Its description in RNAcentral is "partial 16S ribosomal RNA". It matches the Rfam family "Bacterial small subunit ribosomal RNA", at positions 527 to 896 of the family's 1533-position model. The record is from RNAcentral.
GGAGGGUGCAAACGUUGCUCGGAAUUACUGGGCGUAAAGCGCAUGCAGGGCGGUUUGCAAAGUUUCGUGUGAAAGCCCUGGGGCUCAACCCAGGAAGUGCACGGAAAACUGGCAGACUAGAGUACUGGAGAAGUGGGCGGAAUUCCCGGUGUAGAGGUGAAAUUCGUAGAUAUCGGGAGGAACACCAGCAGCGAAGGCGGCUCACUUGACAGAUACUGACGCUCAGAUGCGAAAGCGUGGGGAGCAAACAGGAUUAGAUACCCUGGUAGUCCACGCCGUAAACGAUGGGCACUAGGUGUCGGGGGCUUGACCCCUUCGGCGCCGCAGCUAACGCAUUAAGUGCCCCGCCUGGGGAGUACGGUCGCAAGGCUA